This 2077-nucleotide long non-coding RNA is filed under the name Nicotiana tabacum (common tobacco). RNAcentral describes it as "long non-coding RNA (NTAB_LNC011156)". Lineage: Eukaryota; Viridiplantae; Streptophyta; Magnoliopsida; Solanales; Solanaceae. The record is from RNAcentral.
CUUUUUUAUUAUAUUUGUAAAAAACAGAAUAUUUUCUAUUGCAUUAUUCGUGCAUUUUUAGUUAAUUAAUUCACAACUCAACUCUUUCUGAUUUUCUCAAAUAGUAAUUAAAACGAAAAACAUCUGUAGAAUAGAUAAACCAAUCUUUGUGGGUUCGACAUCUUUCUAAACUAUUAUUUGGCAGAGUACGAGUUAGAAUUUUAUAUACACUAGACACUCGUCAAAUUUUUGGCGUCGUUGCCGGGGAUUGGCUAAAGUCUACUACAGAUUAAUUGCUUUACUACUAAUUUGAGAUUUUUUUAUUGUCUAAUUAUUUUAACUUUUCUGUAGAAAUUUCAGAAAGGAUAUGACAUGUUCCUCUUCUAGAGAACCAGUUGAAUACGAUCCUGGAAUUGAAAUAUCCUUGCGGUUCUUGCGAAAAGAACAAACCUCACGAUCUCAAAUUUUCACAUCACAGGAAAUGGAUAACGAAGAACUCAAUAACCAACUUCCACCACAUCAAGUAGAAGAACAGUUUGAUGAGGUGGCACCAUGACGUGAUAGAAUACUCCGUGAUUAUGCAAGGCCAGAUCAUUUUAAAGGUCAAGUGUGAGGAGACCACCAAUUGCAACAAACAACUUUGAAAUCCGCACAUGCUUGAUUCAAACUAUUCAACAGUCAUGUCAGUUUGUUGGUGAUGCAAGUGAAGAUCCUCACACACAUCUAAUUGAUUUUCUUGAAUUAGUUGAAACUUGCAGGUAUAAUAGAGUCAUAAGCUAUCAAGUUGCGGCUUUUUCCUUUUUCAUUAAAAGGUGAAGCCAAAACAUGAUUGCGAAGUCUACCAAGAGGUUCCAUUAUAACAUGGGACCAAAUGACACAAAUAUUUCUUAAUAAAUAUUUUUCACCUGCAAACACAAUUAAAAUGAAGUAAGAAAUCAAUAAUUUUAUGCAGAUAGAUACUGAAUAUGUGUACCAGGCAUGGGAAAGAUUAGCAACAAUGUUAAGAAAAUACCCACAUCAUGGUAUCCAAGACACUGACAUUUUAUAUAUUUUCUAUCAUGAUCUUAAACCCUCUGCUAGAAAUGUAAUUGAUGCAGCAUCAGGAGGAUCAAUAAUGAAAAAAACUGCUACAGAAGCAAUGCAAUUUCUUAAUGAGAUUUCGGAAAAUGUUGUUCAAUGGCCCUCAGGCAGAAUGAUUAUCAAGAAAACAGCAUGAGUAAAUCAAGUUGAAGCUUUGAAUUCAUUGUCACAACAAAUUGCGAACUUACCACAAAAAGUUGAGGCCUUUCAGGUAGGUGCUCACUCAUCAUCCCAACUUGAGAAUUGUGAUGUUUGUCAAGGUAAUCAUCUGAAUCAUGAAUGUCAAGCUUCAACACAAAAUGAGGAACGGUUAAAUGUGAUUGGUUAUAGAAAUAAUUACUCAUCCGGUAGUCCCAUGGCACAAAAAAUCCAGGAUUUCAAUGGAAUAAUCCUAAUGGUAUUGAAAAUACUCAAAGAUUUUUUAAUCAAAGGCAGCAGGUACAGGGACCACCUGGUUUUCAAAAUCAAAAUAGAGGGCAACAAAAUUUCCAACAAUAUCAGUAGCAACCCCAAAAAGCUCAUCAACAAAGCCUUGAAGAGCUGAUGUACAAAUUCAUUAAGGCUACUGACGAGAAGGUUGAAAGUCAACAUUCAACUAUCAAGAAUUUGGAAAUUCGGGUACGCUAAUUAGCAACCCUCAUGUCUGGACAAAUUCAAGGUGCUCUACCAAGCAACACUGAGAAAAAUCCAAAAGAAUACCUCAAAUCCAUUUCUCUACGGCCAGGUAAAGCUCUUGAUGAUCCAUAUGGAGCUAGAGAAGAAAAGCCACAAGAAGUGGAAAAGGUAAAUAAAGGUGAGAAUAAAACAGAAUCUAAUUUCCCAAAAGAACAAAAGGGUAAAUAAAAAAAUGUACUAGAAAAUAAAUUGAUAACAAAUCCUCACUAUGUACCUCUCCUUUUUUCCCCAAAAGAUGAAAAGAGAAAAGAAUGACAAACAGUUUUCCAAGUUUCUCGAUAUUUUGAAACAACUUUACAUUAACAUACUUUUCACAAAUGCUUUGACCCAAAUACCUUCCUAU